UACGAAGGGGGCUAGCGUUGUUCGGAAUUACUGGGCGUAAAGCGCACGUAGGCGGAUUGUUAAGUCAGGGGUGAAAUCCUGGAGCUCAACUCCAGAACUGCCUUUGAUACUGGCAAUCUUGAGUCCGGAAGAGGUGAGUGGAACUCCUAGUGUAGAGGUGGAAUUCGUAGAUAUUAGGAAGAACACCAGUGGCGAAGGCGGCUCACUGGUCCGGUACUGACGCUGAGGUGCGAAAGCGUGGGGAGCAAACAGGG
RNAcentral lists this ribosomal RNA (254 nucleotides) under uncultured bacterium. RNAcentral describes it as "partial 16S ribosomal RNA". It matches the Rfam family "Bacterial small subunit ribosomal RNA", at positions 524 to 777 of the family's 1533-position model. The record is from RNAcentral.